Long non-coding RNA from Dromaius novaehollandiae (emu), 3616 nucleotides. RefSeq lists it as uncharacterized. The record is from RefSeq and is a predicted model, not a curated record. The transcript has 2 exons. NCBI's taxonomy places the organism in Eukaryota, Metazoa, Chordata, Aves, Casuariiformes, Dromaiidae.
UUCCUGCUCCGAGAAGCCCCUAACUGAUGAGGCAGAGAGCUGCAGGGGAAAUACAGAGGCGGAGCGACUUCGGGAAGGUCACCCCGGCGAUCGGCGCACGGCUGGGAAGGGAGGCCGGAGCUGCGGCCUGCCAGCAGCACGGCUCUGCCUCCGGGACCCCACCGCGUCACGGACUGGUCUCGAGCAACACGCGGCACCACGGAGGCCGCCUGGAUGCCGUGGUGCCCGGGCGAGCGCAGCGUUCAGGCAGGAGAGCCGGGGCUGUAGUGGCGCAGCUUCGUGCUGGGUGUUGUCAGAGACUUGCGCGCCCCGCGGAAGAGCAGGAAUGAAAUGCAAGCGACGCUGCGAUUUGCAUGCUCCUCCGCUCGUGGUGCAGGUAUCCAGGGUGAAGGCUGCUCCAGCACUGACUCACCACGCUUGGCUUGGACACGAGAGCACGGGCUGUCGGCUCAGCCCCGUCGUGGGAACCGGGAGAUGCCCGCGCGGAGCUGGAACGCGGUUACCCGAGGUAGCUAGGAGCCCAGAGCCCCACCUCGUCCUAUUUAACCCUGCCAGCCCCCACGCCGUGAGAGGCGUGAGGGGGGACAUUUGCGGCUCUCAGAGCAUGCACGUAGUAAAUCCAAGCUGCUUUACCCUCGCUGGGAUUUGCUCCGGCGCCUGCAAACUGGCUCGACAGCAUUUGCAGCAGAAACGGCAUCGCCAAGCCCCGAGCCCCGGAGGGCGGCCGGAGCAGCGCCGUGGGGCCGAGGUUGCGUCACCGCGGCCACGUUUAUUCGGGCACACGGACGAUGCACGGCUCUUGCGCGCCGCGGCCCCGGGGACGCCUCUCCCUGCCAGCGUGGAGGGGUGAACGUGUAACGAUGCGCAGCGUCGCGCGUGAUGUCACCGGGGCGCACGUCGCGCAAACCUGCCGGUCUGGCCGGGCUCGUCGUGUCCCCGCGGCCCCGCGUGUUUGUUUGCACAGCCCGGGAGCCACCCUCUUGCCGUAAGCGCCUCUCGCACCAGCCCUGCCCGCGGCCAGCACGCGGGGCCGGUUUCCCAGAGGGCGGCUCGCACCUCCCCAGCGGCGGGGAGAAAGCCCACCUCGUCCUGCUCCUGGCGCCCAGAGGCCUCGGGGAUGGGCGGCAAGCCGGAGCAGCCCCGCUCCUGGGCCUCCCGUGGAGCAGUCCGAGGGGGCCCUCUACCUGUCUCCGGCAGUACGGCUUUCGGGGAGCGCUGGCCCUGCAGGAGCUGUAGCCUCAGCCUCCGCGGAGACAAAGAGCUGCUCUCCCUCGCUCGGAAAAGCUGGACUGUACUUAUUUGUCUUCACCUCGCGAGAGCUCACCCUCGCCGCUGUAACAGCCCAGAAGCCAGGGAGAUGCCCACGAGAGACGCGCAGGCUUCCUGCAGCGUUUCACCGCGGUGGAAGCAGACCCCGGCCACCCAGGAGCGCGGUGGGACCACCUGGCCCUGCAGCCUUUCCAUCUCUCUCCAGCGAAAGCAAAAACCGAACAGUCUCUCGGUGGCCAAAACUCGAUCGAUCCCCUGCUCCCGCAGCUGGGUCGCAGGAUCGCUGCAAUCCAAAGGGUCCUCAGGAGCCACCUUGACCGGCCUCCUGCUCGCAGCCGGGCACUGCUGGGCGCCGAGCUGCUUGCUCAGGGCUGUGGCCAGUUGGGGCUCGAAAACCCGAGGUUUACGGCAAGCUGUCCCAGCGCUGGCCUCGCAGUGAAAAUUGGUUUCCUUAUAACUGACCGGAAACUUGAUUUGUGGCCUCUCAUCCUUCCACCGCGCACCUUGGCGAGGAGCUUCGGUGAAGGGCACCGUGGUGGCCCAGCCCUGGGCUGGUACCCAACGCCCUUCUCGUAGCGGGGACCCGAAACCAGAGGUGGCAUUUUAGGUUCAGUCUAACAAAUGUCGAUGACAGGGAUAAUCACCGCCCCCCCCAACAAAAUAAAAAAGAAAUCCUCCUCAACCUGUCAAGCUAACUUUCCUGGAGGAAUAAAAUUACAUCUUUACGGUGGAAACGUGGCCAUCAUCUCUUCCUGAUAUCAAAAGACGUCUCAAGCAUUUGCCUGUUCCCCCCCCCGGCUGGGUUUCAGUUUUCGCUGCCGAAUGCGACAGAGGCUGCGUCUUCGCAGCCAAGAAAAGGUGCGAUUUGGAGCCGGCCCCGGGAAGUUUGGAGCGGCAGAAGCGGGAAGGCGGAGAAGCCGCCCUUGAAACCGGUCCUGCUGUCGCCUUCGGUGUCAACAUUGGCAAAACCUGCAAUUCCAGAAUUUUCCUGCGCAAUUAAAAAAGAAAAAAAAAAAAGCAAAAGGCAGCAUUUAAAGGACCUGCCUGUCUCAUUUGGCUGCUCCUUUUCUCAAGAAAGUGAAGGGGCUCCUGCGGCACGCCACGCGCCUGGCUUGAGGCACGGAGCAAGGAGGCGACACGGAGCGAGGGGUUCGGGGCAGCGCCCUCAGGUCUCCUCUCUCGGUGCACGUUCAUGCCCUGAGGAGGACUUUGAGGACCUGAUGCUAGAAAGCAGAGUGGACCCCUACGGCCAAGCCCCACGUGCAAGAAGUCCUACCCUUCUUCUACACCAGCUAGAGGAGCCCAGCCACCAGCAAGAGCCAUAGGAGACCUGUUAGACCCUGCAAAGCAAGGUCCACCCAAGGUGGCAUCUUGGUGCCAGACGCUGCAGGGGAGCGGAGAAGCCCUGCUGCCGUGCUUUGUGAGCGGAUGUGACCCCACGACGAUGGUGUGGGACGGGGCAGAGCCGUGCAAGGUGUUCGGUCCUUUCUCCGUCCUGGGAUUCGUGCACAAAGCAAGAGAGGAGAGGGUGAUCUCAGGAAUCCAUCCAGCAGCAUCAGAUGUCAGAGGUAUCUUUAUUGACGGUUUACAGAAAUACAGUAGCACUCGGUUUACAGGGUUUCUGCAAGUUCUCCAGAAGGUGCCUACGUUCUCAGCAGUGCCGGGAGAUCCCAAGGAGGAUCCUCCCUUUUUUUCAUCUGUUUUAACUCUUUGGGGCUUAUGUGGAGGCUUUGAGGUUCUCUAGGAUGAGCUUUUCUAACAUUCAGUUCUCUGGGGAGGGUAAGCCGUUACAACCAUUGAAUGAAAUUCAGCAGAGAACUGUAUCAGAGAAGGAAAAUUAAAAAAAAUAAAGGUACGUUAGGGGGCUGGGGCGUGGGAGAGCAGUCUGCACACGUCUGAUAUGUUCUGCACCAGCCCUGCCUCCAGCGCCAGGUUCCCCUCUCGGCGGCAGGCACGUCGCCGUCCCCCCUCCGCCUCCGAGUCGGUGCCCGCGGUCCUGGGGGGCACCUCGAGCCCCGGGGCCGGGGGGGCCCUGCUGCUCCCCGGCUGCAGCGCGGCUCGGGGCCGCUGGCCACCACGGGCUCGUGCCUGGGCCACGCUCCGGCGGCUGCUCCUCCUCCUGUCCUGCAGUUCACCUGUCUAGGAUUACUCGAGUCGUGUUCAGCUCUAGGUUUUGCACGCUGCUGUCACACCGUUUUGUUGUUUAUUAUGAAAUAGAUAUUUGUGGUUGUUUUGUUUUUCUCCCUGUACAAACGUACGAGUGAAACCCUUUCCUACAGCAGUUCACACACAGUUUGGGGGCAGGAAGGGUAUACUCAGUUAGGCUGAUAAAUUCGUUUAAUUUUUA